AUUGAACGCUGGCGGCAUGCUUUACACAUGCAAGUCGAACGGCAGCACGGGUGCUUGCAUCUGGUGGCGAGUGGCGAACGGGUGAGUAAUACAUCGGAACGUACCUGAUAGUGGGGGAUAACUAAGCGAAAGUUUAGCUAAUACCGCAUAAGCCCUGAGGGGGAAAGUGGGGGACCAGUAAUGGCCUCAUGCUAACAGAGCGGCCGAUGGCUGAUUAGCUGGUUGGUGAGGUAAAGGCUCACCAAGGCGACGAUCAGUAGCGGGUCUUAGAGGACGAUCCGCCACACUGGAACUGAGACACGGUCCAGACUCCUACGGGAGGCAGCAGUGGGGAAUCUUGGACAAUGGGCGCAAGCCUGAUCCAGCAAUGCCGCGUGGGUGAAGAAGGCCUUCGGGUUGUAAAGCCCUUUUGUUUGGGAGCAAAUCCUGCUGGCUAAUAACUGGCGGGGAUGAGAGUACCAAAAGAAUCAGCACCGGCUAACUACGUGCCAGCCGCCGCCGUAA
RNAcentral lists this ribosomal RNA (504 nucleotides) under uncultured bacterium. Its description in RNAcentral is "partial 16S ribosomal RNA". It matches the Rfam family "Bacterial small subunit ribosomal RNA", at positions 30 to 523 of the family's 1533-position model. The record is from RNAcentral.